RNAcentral lists this unclassified non-coding RNA (220 nucleotides) under Hevea brasiliensis (rubber tree). Lineage: Eukaryota; Viridiplantae; Streptophyta; Magnoliopsida; Malpighiales; Euphorbiaceae. The record is from RNAcentral.
AGAUUUGCAGGGAGUGUUUUUAUAUGGUGUUUGAGGAAGAGAUACACCGAGUGAUUGUGGAAAACCAGCUAUUCAAGCCUGGUGAGCGUGUUGCUAUUGGUGCCUCUGGUGGUAAAGAUUCUACAGUUCUAGCUUAUGUGUUAUCAGAAUUAAAUCGCCGGCAUAAUUAUGGCCUCGAUCUGUUCUUAUUGUCUGUUGACGAAGGCAUUACUGGUUACAG